GAAGCUGUCUGCGAUCAGCGGUAGCGGCUACAGCAGCAGAUGUAGCAAUCACACUGUUUUCUUCAGGGAUGCAAAUAUUCCUCCAGCCUUUAUGGAGGAUCUGUGACGUCCAGAGGAACGAGGCCAGACUGAAGUUAUCGUCUGUAACGUAUCGGCUCUGAGGCUGAUCAGUGGGGACUGUUUUAUGGAGCAGGAAUCUCUCUGUCCUGAAUGUGAUUUACAGGACAUCAAACAUAUGUUCAGUGUGUGUGUGCAGCUAGUGUCAGAAUAUUGUAGCUUCAGUUCUUUAACACAUUUAUAAUAUUUCUAUCUGUGGAAAUGGUGCAGCUAUCUUGGAUCUGAAUAUUUGGCUUAAUAUGAACUUAAAGCUCUUAAAAUACAUAUUGUUUGAUUUCAUACAUUUAUACUUUUGUAAUUGUAUUUUUUUGACAUAUUUAAUAUUAUCUUCAUACUGAUUCCUAUUAUAACAUGAUGUAAUUUAAUAAAAUAAAUGCAUGUA
Long non-coding RNA from Dicentrarchus labrax (European seabass), 499 nucleotides. RefSeq lists it as uncharacterized. The transcript is spliced from 2 exons. NCBI's taxonomy places the organism in Eukaryota, Metazoa, Chordata, Actinopteri, Moronidae. The record is from RefSeq and is a predicted model, not a curated record.